AACGAACGCUGGCGGCAUGCCUAACACAUGCAAGUCGAACGAGACCUUCGGGUCUAGUGGCGCACGGGUGCGUAACGCGUGGGAACCUGCCCUUAGGUUCGGAAUAACUCCCCGAAAGGGGUGCUAAUACCGGAUAAUGUCUUCGGACCAAAGAUUUAUCGCCUUUGGAUGGGCCCGCGUUGGAUUAGCUAGUUGGUAGGGUAAAAGCCUACCAAGGCGACGAUCCAUAGCUGGUCUGAGAGGAUGAUCAGCCACACUGGGACUGGGACACGGCCCAGACUCCUACGGGAGGCAGCAGUGGGGAAUAUUGGACAGUGGGCGAAAGCCUGAUCCAGCAAUGCCGCGUGAGUGAUGAAGGCCUUAGGGUUGUAAAGCUCUUUUACCCGGGAUGAUAAUGACAGUACCGGGAGAAUAAGCUCCGGCUAACUCCGG
Molecule: ribosomal RNA, 432 nt
Filed under: uncultured bacterium
Lineage: Bacteria
Description: partial 16S ribosomal RNA
Rfam family: Bacterial small subunit ribosomal RNA
Source: RNAcentral